AGAGUUUGAUCCUGGCUCAGGAUGAACGCUGGCGGCGUGCCUAACACAUGCAAGUCGAGCGAUGAAAUUUCCUUCGGGGAAUGGAUUAGCGGCGGACGGGUGAGUAACACGUGGGUAACCUGCCUCAUAGUGGGGGAUAGCCUUCCGAAAGGAAGAUUAAUACCGCAUAAUAUCAUUAGAUGGCAUCAUUUAGUGAUCAAAGGAUUUAUUCGCUAUGAGAUGGACCCGCGUCGCAUUAGCUAGUUGGUAAGGUAAUGGCUUACCAAGGCGACGAUGCGUAGCCGACCUGAGAGGGUGAUCGGCCACAUUGGGACUGAGACACGGCCCAGACUCCUACGGGAGGCAGCAGUGGGGAAUAUUGCACAAUGGGGGAAACCCUGAUGCAGCAACGCCGCGUGAGUGAUGACGGUCUUCGGAUUGUAAAGCUCUGUCUUUGUGGACGAUAAUGACGGUACCCAAGGAGGAAGCCACGGCUAACUACGUGCCAGCAGCCGCGGUAAUACGUAGGUGGCGAGCGUUAUCCGGAAUUAUUGGGCGUAAAGGGAGCGUAGGCGGAUAAUUAAGUGGGAUGUGAAAUACUCAGGCUCAACCUGGGGGCUGCAUUCCAAACUGAUUAUCUAGAGUGCAGGAGAGGAGAGUGGAAUUCCUAGUGUAGCGGUGAAAUGCGUAGAGAUUAGGAAGAACACCAGUGGCGAAGGCGACUCUCUGGACUGUAACUGACGCUGAGGCUCGAAAGCGUGGGGAGCAAACAGGAUUAGAUACCCUGGUAGUCCAUGCCGUAAACGAUGAAUACUAGGUGUGGGGGUUUCAACACCUCCGUGCCGCCGCUAACGCAUUAAGUAUUCCGCCUGGGGAGUACGGUCGCAAGAUUAAAACUCAAAGGAAUUGACGGGGACCCGCACAAGCAGCGGAGCAUGUGGUUUAAUUCGAAGCAACGCGAAGAACCUUACCAGGUCUUGACAUACUCGUGCUAUCCUUAGAGAUAAGGAGUUCCUUCGGGACACGGGAUACAGGUGGUGCAUGGUCGUCGUCAGCUCGUGUCGUGAGAUGUUGGGUUAAGUCACGCAACGAGCGCAACCCUUAUUACUAGUUGCCAUCAUUAAGUUGGGCACUCUAGUGAGACUGCCGGUGAUAAACCGGAGGAAGGUGAGGAUGACGUCAAAUCAUCAUGCCCCUUAUGACCUGGGCUACACACGUGCUACAAUGGAUGGUACAACGAGUCGCCAACCCGCGAGGGUGCGCUAAUCUCUUAAAACCAUUCUCAGUUCGGAUUGCAGGCUGCAACUCGCCUGCAUGAAGUCGGAAUCGCUAGUAAUCGCGGAUCAGCACGCCGCGGUGAAUACGUUCCCGGGCCUUGCACUCACCGCCCGUCA
Molecule: ribosomal RNA, 1373 nt
Filed under: uncultured bacterium
Lineage: Bacteria
Description: bacterial SSU rRNA
Rfam family: Bacterial small subunit ribosomal RNA
Source: RNAcentral